GACACCACUGGAAACGGUGGCUAAUACCGGGUAUGCCAAGAGGUGAAGGUUAACUGCCUGGAGAUGAGCUCGCGUCUGAUUAGCUAGUUGGUGGUGUAAGGGACUACCAAGGCGACUAUCAGUAGCUGGUCUGAGAGGAUGAUCAGCCACACUGGAACUGAGACACGGUCCAGACUCCUACGGGAGGCAGCAGUGGGGAAUUUUCCGCAAUGGGCGAAAGCCUGACGGAGCAAUACCGCGUGAGGGAGGAAGGCUCUUGGGUUGUAAACCUCUUUUCUCAGGGAAUAAGCAAGUGAAGGUACCUGAGGAAUCAGCAUCGGCUAACUCCGUGCCAGCAGCCGCGGUAAUACGGAGGAUGCAAGCGUUAUCCGGAAUGAUUGGGCGUAAAGCGUCCGUAGGUGGCUGUGUGUGUCUAUUGUUAAAGAGUUUGGCUCAACCAAAUAAGGGCGGUAGAAACUACACAGCUAGAGUGCGUUCGGGGCAGAGGGAAUUCCUGGUGUAGCGGUGAAAUGCGUAGAGAUCAGGAAGAACACCGGUGGCGAAAGCGCUCUGCUAAGCCGCAACUGACACUGAGGGACGAAAGCUAGGGGAGCGAAUGGGAUUAGAUA
This 608-nucleotide ribosomal RNA is filed under the name Westiellopsis sp. LCRNK35. RNAcentral describes it as "bacterial SSU rRNA". It matches the Rfam family "Bacterial small subunit ribosomal RNA", at positions 143 to 784 of the family's 1533-position model. Lineage: Bacteria; Bacillati; Cyanobacteriota; Cyanophyceae; Nostocales; Hapalosiphonaceae. The record is from RNAcentral.